Molecule: ribosomal RNA, 467 nt
Filed under: uncultured bacterium
Lineage: Bacteria
Description: partial 16S ribosomal RNA
Rfam family: Bacterial small subunit ribosomal RNA
Source: RNAcentral
GACGAACGCUGGCGGCGUGCUUAACACAUGCAAGUCGAACGGAAAGGCCCUGCUUUUGUGGGGUGCUCGAGUGGCGAACGGGUGAGUAACACGUGAGUAACCUGCCCUUGACUUUGGGAUAACUUCAGGAAACUGGGGCUAAUACCGGAUAGGAGCUCCUGCUGCAUGGUGGGGGUUGGAAAGUUUCGGCGGUUGGGGAUGGACUCGCGGCUUAUCAGCUUGUUGGUGGGGUAGUGGCUUACCAAGGCUUGGACGGGUAGCCGGCCUGAGAGGGUGACUGGCCACAUUGGGACUGAGAUACGGCCCAGACUGAUACGGGAGGCAGCAGUGGGGAAUAUUGCACAAUGGGCGGAGGCCUGAUGCAGGAACGCCGCGUGCGGGAUGACGGCCUUCGGGUUGUAAACCGAUUUCGCCUGUGACGAAGCGUGAGUGACGGAAAUGGGUAAAGAAGCACCGGCUAACUACGU